AGCGAACGCUGGCGGCAGGCCUAACACAUGCAAGUCGAACGAACUCUUCGGAGUUAGCGGCGGACGGGUGAGUAACACGUGGGAACGUGCCUUUAGGUUCGGAAUAACUCAGGGAAACUUGUGCUAAUACCGAAUGUGCCCUUCGGGGGAAAGAUUUAUCGCCUUUAGAGCGGCCCGCGUCUGAUUAGCUAGUUGGUGAGGUAAUGGCUCACCAAGGCGACGAUCAGUAGCUGGUCUGAGAGGAUGAUCAGCCACAUUGGGACUGAGACACGGCCCAAACUCCUACGGGAGGCAGCAGUGGGGAAUCUUGCGCAAUGGGCGAAAGCCUGACGCAGCCAUGCCGCGUGAAUGAUGAAGGUCUUAGGAUUGUAAAAUUCUUUCACCGGGGACGAUAAUGACGGUACCCGGAGAAGAAGCCCCGGCUAACUUCGUGCCAGCCGCCGCCGUAA
This 449-nucleotide ribosomal RNA is filed under the name uncultured bacterium. Its description in RNAcentral is "partial 16S ribosomal RNA". It matches the Rfam family "Bacterial small subunit ribosomal RNA", at positions 29 to 523 of the family's 1533-position model. The record is from RNAcentral.